AUGAAGUUCGCACUCCAUUUUUGGGGUCUUUUCUGUUGUCUGUAUGCACUAAGUAAGAAUAUCUAUGCAAGGCCCGAUACAGUGAGCGUUGGAGCUCUUUUCACAUUCAAUUCCACGAUAGGGAGAGCUGCCAAGAUUGCCAUUUCUGCUGCUGUCAAUGAGAUCAACACCGAUUCAAGCAUCCUUCCAGGCACAAACCUGGUUGUCGAGAUGCAAGAUUCCAAUUGCAGUGGCUUCGUUGGCAUUGUGCAAGCAUUGCAAUUCAUGGAGAAAGAUACAGUUGCAAUCAUCGGCCCACAAUCUUCUGUCAUCGCGCAUGUUAUUUCUCAUGUUGCAAAUGAACUUCAAGUGCCUAUGCUGUCCUUCGGUGCAACUGAUCCAACUCUCACGUCACUUCAGUUUCCUUUCUUGGUGAGGACAACCCGUAGUGAUCAUUUUCAAAUGGCUGCUGUUGCUGACUUGGUCGACUACUAUGGGUGGAAGCAAGUGACAGCUAUAUAUAUCGAUGAUGAUUAUGGAAGAAACGGCAUGGCCUCUUUAGGUGAUGAACUUGUCAAGAGGCGGGCUAAGAUCUCGUUUAAAGCUGCAGUUAGGCCAGGAGCAAAAAAGAGUGAAAUGGCUAGUGCGCUAGUCAGGGUUGCAUUGAUGGAAUCUCGAGUGGUAGUUCUGCAUGCAAAUCCUGACUCUGGGCUUGCACUUCUCUCGCUGGCACGCAAUCUCGGCAUGACAUCAAGCGGGUAUGUGUGGAUUGCAACAGAUUGGCUCAGUUCAUUCCUGGAUUCAUCGCCACGUCUCGACAUCGGAUUACUGAGCACAAUGCAGGGUUUUCUCACAUUACGCCAGCACACAGAAAAUACAAGAAGGAAGAGUAUGCUAGCUUCAAAAUGGAGUGCACUGGUGAAGAAAGAUACUGUUGACGACAAGUUCUUGAUUAAUUCGUAUGGCUUUUAUGCGUAUGAUUCUGUCUGGAUCCUUGCUUAUGCGCUGGACGCAUAUUUCAGUAGAGGUGGAAACAUUUCUUUCUCAAAUGACACCAAGCUACAUGAAGUUGGGGCAGGGGGUCUGCAAUUGAAAGCUAUGACUGUCUUUGAUGGGGGGAGGCUGUUACUAGAAAGAAUCCAGCAAGUGAAUUUCACGGGUGCAACUGGCCCUGUAAAAUUUGAUACAGAUGGUAAUCUUAUCCGUCCUGCGUACGACAUCGUUAACAUAGUAGGAUCUGGUCUGCGGACAGUUGGUUACUGGUCCAACUAUUCUGGCCUGUCCACCUCGUUGCCUGAGACUCUUUACAUGAAACCAGCAAAACGUGUUAGGGGAGAUCAGAAACUCCACACUGUGAUAUGGCCAGGUGAGACUACAGUAAGGCCACGUGGAUGGGUGUUUCCCAACAAUGGAAUUGAGCUGAAAAUUGGAGUUCCCAAUAGGGCAAGUUACCGUCAAUUUGUGUCAGUUGACAAUAACAGCGGAACGGUGCGUGGUUUCUGUAUUGAUGUGUUUGUUGCUGCAGCCAACUUGUUACAGUAUCCAGUUCCAUUUAAGUUUGUUCCGUUUGGGGAUGGUAGUCAGAAUCCAAGCUAUCCAGACCUUAUCAACAAUAUUCUAACGAAUGACUUCGAUGCUGUGGUAGGUGAUAUAGCUAUCGUCACAAAUCGGACAAGGGUUGUUGACUUCACUCAGCCAUACGUUGAGUCGGGGCUUGUGGUACUUACCUCUGUUAAGAAGCAAAGCUCGAGUGGAUGGGCCUUUUUGCAGCCAUUCACCAUCAAAAUGUGGUGCAUCACAGGGCUGUUCUUUCUUGUCAUAGGAACGGUGAUUUGGCUGCUUGAGCACAGAAUCAAUGAUGAGUUCCGCGGGCCUCCAGCGAAACAGGUUAUCACUGUAUUCUGGUUCAGUUUCUCAACUCUGUUCUUCGCGCACAGAGAGGACACGAGAAGCACCCUCGGCCGCUUCGUGAUCAUCAUAUGGCUCUUCGUGGUUCUGAUCAUCCAGUCCAGCUACACUGCCAGCUUGACCUCCAUACUCACCGUGCAGCAGCUCAUAUCUCCAAUCACAGGGAUCGAUAGCUUGGUCGCCAGCGACGAGCCCAUCGGGUUUCAAGUCGGCUCCUUUGCGGAAAGUUACCUCGUGAACGAGCUCGGUGUCUCGAGACACAGGCUUAAAUCCCUCGGUACUCCGGACGAGUAUAAGCAAGCGCUUGAGCUUGGCCCUGCCAAUGGAGGCGUCGCUGGCAUCGUUGACGAGCGUCCCUAUGUUGAGAUCUUCUUGCUCCUGCAUCCCAAAUUCGCAGUCGUGGGCUCGGAGUUCACCAAAAGUGGCUGGGGCUUCGCGUUCCCGAGGGACUCGCCGCUGGCGGUGGACCUGUCGACGUCCAUCCUGGAGCUGUCGGAGAACGGCGACCUCCAGCGGAUCCACGACAAGUGGCUGGCGAACAACGUGGCGGGGUCCAUGUCGCAGAACAACGAGCUGGAGUCGGACCGGCUGCAGGUGUACAGCUUCUCAGGGCUGUUCCUCAUCUGUGGCGUGGCGUGCCUCAUCGCCCUCGCCAUACACGCCGGCAUCCUCUUCCACAAGUACUGUGAGCAACGGCGGCAGGUGUCGGCCGACGGCAGCUCCCGCUCCAGCCGCAGCAGUUUCCGCGCGUUCCUGUCGUUCGCCGACCGACGGGAGAUGGACGCCCAUAUAGCGUCCAAGGACAAGGCGGCCGGAGACCACUCCAUUAGCGCGGCGUCGAGUAGCAGCGUCAGCACUGCCACGUCGUGCUAG
RNAcentral lists this ribosomal RNA (2760 nucleotides) under Triticum aestivum (bread wheat). Its description in RNAcentral is "partial small subunit ribosomal RNA". Lineage: Eukaryota; Viridiplantae; Streptophyta; Magnoliopsida; Poales; Poaceae. The record is from RNAcentral.